This 1413-nucleotide ribosomal RNA is filed under the name Weissella sp. RNAcentral describes it as "bacterial SSU rRNA". It matches the Rfam family "Bacterial small subunit ribosomal RNA". The record is from RNAcentral. Lineage: Bacteria; Bacillati; Bacillota; Bacilli; Lactobacillales; Lactobacillaceae.
AAUUGUAAAAAAUGGGGGAACGGGUGAAUAAAAAGUGGAAAACUUACUUUUUAAGCAGGGGAUAAAAUUGGGAACAAAAUGGUAAUCCGGAUAACAAUGCAAACCGGAAUGGUUGUUAUUUAAAAAAGGUUUUGGUAUCAUUAAAAAAUGGUCCCGGGGUGGAUUAGGUAGGUGGUAAGGUAAUGGGUUACCAAGGCAAUAAUGCAUAGCCGAGUUGAAGACUGAUCGGCCACAAUGGGACUUAAACACGGCCCAUAUUCUUACGGGAGGCAGCAGUAGGGAAUUUUUCCCCAAUGGGGGAAAGCCUGAUGAAGCAACGCCGGGGGUGUGAUGAAGGGUUUCGGCUCGUAAAACACUGUUGUAAGAGAAGAAUGACAUUGAGAGUAACUGUUCAAUGUGUGACGGUAUCUUACCAGAAAGGAACGGGUAAAUACGUGCCAGCAGCCGCGGUAAUACGUAUGUUCCAAGCGUUAUCCGGAUUUAUUGGGCGUAAAGCGAGCGCAGACGGUUAUUUAAGUCUGAAGUGAAAGCCCUCAGCUCAACUGAGGAAUUGCUUUGGAAACUGGAUGACUUGAGUGCAGUAGAGGAAAGUGGAACUCCAUGUGUAGCGGUGAAAUGCGUAGAUAUAUGGAAGAACACCAGUGGCGAAGGCGGCUUUCUGGACUGUAACUGACGUUGAGGCUCGAAAGUGUGGGUAGCAAACAGGAUUAGAUACCCUGGUAGUCCACACCGUAAACGAUGAGUGCUAGGUGUUUGAGGGUUUCCGCCCUUAAGUGCCGCAGCUAACGCAUUAAGCACUCCGCCUGGGGAGUACGACCGCAAGGUUGAAACUCAAAGGAAUUGACGGGGACCCGCACAAGCGGUGGAGCAUGUGGUUUAAUUCGAAGCAACGCGAAGAACCUUACCAGGUCUUGACAUCCCUUGACAACUCCAGAGAUGGAGCGUUCCCUUCGGGGACAAGGUGACAGGUGGUGCAUGGUUGUCGUCAGCUCGUGUCGUGAGAUGUUGGGUUAAGUCCCGCAACGAGCGCAACCCUUAUUACUAGUUGCCAGCAUUCAGUUGGGCACUCUAGUGAGACUGCCGGUGACAAACCGGAGGAAGGUGGGGAUGACGUCAAAUCAUCAUGCCCCUUAUGACCUGGGCUACACACGUGCUACAAUGGCGUAUACAACGAGUUGCCAACCCGCGAGGGUGAGCUAAUCUCUUAAAGUACGUCUCAGUUCGGAUUGUAGGCUGCAACUCGCCUACAUGAAGUCGGAAUCGCUAGUAAUCGCGGAUCAGCACGCCGCGGUGAAUACGUUCCCGGGUCUUGUACACACCGCCCGUCACACCAUGAGAGUUUGUAACACCCAAAGCCGGUGGGGUAACCUUCGGGAGCCAGCCGUCUAAGGUGGGACAGGAUAUUAGGGGAUC